AAAACAUUGUCUUACCUGAUUAACUAUGUAAGAUAUCGCCUGCCCACUGCUUUGUAAACGGCCGCGGUACUUUGACCGUGCUAAGGUAGCAUAAUCAGUUGUCUCUUAAUUGGAGUCUAGUAUGAAUGGCUGCACGGGGAGAAGCUGUCUCUAUAGGGAUAUAUUGAAUUUACUGUAUAGGUGAAAAAGCCUAUAAAAGUUUUUAAGACGAGAAGACCCCAGGAGCUUACUUAAAAUUUUAGCUGGGGCGGCCAAGGGGCACUAACAAGCCCCCUUAUACUAAUUGAAUAACAAGAAUAAAUAGGUUUGAAAAAGCUACCCUGGGGAUAACAGCAUAAUUUGAAGCAAGUUUGUGACCUCGAUGUUGGACUAGGGAAUUCACGAGCGAGCUGUUCGUGUUUAUUGUUCUGUUCGAACCUUGAGCCCCUACGUGAUCU
This 437-nucleotide ribosomal RNA is filed under the name Acteon sp. 35 MAEM-2006. RNAcentral describes it as "partial 16S ribosomal RNA". It matches the Rfam family "Bacterial large subunit ribosomal RNA", at positions 1810 to 2606 of the family's 2925-position model. Lineage: Eukaryota; Metazoa; Mollusca; Gastropoda; Acteonidae. The record is from RNAcentral.